RNAcentral lists this ribosomal RNA (253 nucleotides) under uncultured bacterium. Its description in RNAcentral is "partial 16S ribosomal RNA". It matches the Rfam family "Bacterial small subunit ribosomal RNA", at positions 524 to 776 of the family's 1533-position model. The record is from RNAcentral.
UACAGAGGGUGCAAACGUUGCUCGGAAUUAUUGGGCGUAAAGCGCAUGUAGGCGGCAUAGUAAGUUCGCUGUGAAAGCCCUUGGCUCAACCAAGGAAGUGCAGCGAAAACUGCUAAGCUCGAGUUCUGAAGAGGGUCGCGGAAUGGCCAGUGUAGAGGUGAAAUUCGUAGAUAUUGGGUAGAACACCAGUGGCGAAGGCGGCGACCUGGGAAGAUACUGACGCUGAGAUGCGAAAGCGUGGGGAGCAAACAGG